UGUGAGGGGGAUCAUGUUCCUUCCUCCCUCACUGCUUCAAGUGUGUCCCUUCUAAAGCUGUGUAGUUGGUGUAAAGAAAGAUCUUCCCUAACAGAGGAGGGCCAGUCUUUGCAAGGGGAUGUGAGUAGCUUGCAUGCCCCUGCUUGCACCUCCCAGCUGGCUCUCAGCGUGACUGCUCUGCACUUCUGGGUUUAACUGGGCGGUUCGUUUUAUUGAUUGAUGGUACUUGUGACUAGACCUAGAGGGCCUGAUAC
Molecule: small RNA, 254 nt
Filed under: Mus pahari (shrew mouse)
Lineage: Eukaryota; Metazoa; Chordata; Mammalia; Rodentia; Muridae
Description: sRNA (MGP_PahariEiJ_G0008202.1)
Rfam family: 7SK RNA
About the family: 7SK was discovered as an abundant small nuclear RNA in the mid-70s but a possible function has only recently been suggested. Two independent studies have found that 7SK RNA binds the CDK9/cyclin T complex (known as elongation factor P-TEFb).
Source: RNAcentral